Camelus dromedarius (Arabian camel) is the source of this 8078-nucleotide long non-coding RNA. RefSeq lists it as uncharacterized. NCBI's taxonomy places the organism in Eukaryota, Metazoa, Chordata, Mammalia, Artiodactyla, Camelidae. The record is from RefSeq and is a predicted model, not a curated record. The transcript has 4 exons.
GCUGAGUCAUCCCACUCUGGUAGCUAUUUAAACAGAAGCGUCCAGCCGGCACGCAAUCAACACUCCACUCAGACAAUGCCCAGACCGCCAGAAAUCGUGUUCAGCUUGGAUUGCCCAUGACAAAAUGAGCCCAUCCAGCCGAUCCUCCAAUGGAACCUUAGCCCCAGGGGCCACCAAUUCCUGUUUCAACUUUUCUCACGGUCUUUCCAGUAUUUCUUUCAAGUCAGCAAACAUUGGCUGAGCACCUGUCACGGGUUAGGCGCUGACCUACAGGUGUUCCCUUCAGUGUGUCAGAUGAGGACUCUCUUCAUACUUGGCUGUCAUCUGUCAGCCACAACUGUCCUGUCCAGAAGCACUGGCUUUGGCUUUCAAGCCUGCUUCCUGGCUGGCUUCUUCCCCACUCCAUUAAGGAGGAUACCAUUCGAAAUCACAUGUGCUGCAGGUGCUGCUGAUGAAAGUGCUAAAGUCGCUGGAUGUGACUGACGUAUUUGGGAAGGACAGGACAGUGUGCCCAUGCAGUUGUUGUGUCCAAAUACUGUUCUUAUCUCCCAGUGGAAAGGUACUGUAAAUAAAGAGAAAGGCCACUACCUUAUUUUAAACAUCUGAGCUAGGAGCUGUCCUAGGCACUACGUAAAAGCUCUAUUUAGUUCUUGCAGUAGUAGUGUCCUUAUGUUAGAAUCCCAUGUUAUAGACUGAGGAAAGUCUGGCUCAGAGAGGUUAAGAGACUUACCCAAGGUCACACAGCUCUACAGUUUUUGGUUGAGCGUGACUCUACACAGAUCUAUGUGACUUUGAAUCUAGUGUUCUUUAAAAUCCUGGAAUAGUUCACAGAAGGAGCUGUGGAACGUUAACACGGCAGUAAGAUUUCUGAUUCCAGUCUGAUUAUGAGUCUUUUAAGCAUGAUAGCACGAGUUUCUGACUCUUUGCUCUGAAACGUGAAACCGAUUGGAACAAAUUAGAGUAGAAGGAAGCAACGAAUGUCUAGUAAAAUCUAAUUCAUCCAAUGAAAAGAUUGAUCAAUACGUUUAAGUUCACAGAACUUUUAAGUAGAAUAAAAGACACACUGGGAGAGAGAUGUGGGGAAAAUAUGUCUGUUUUUAUGACUUGUUGAUAUCUAUGGGGUUUUUCCUUAAGCCUCAAAACAAUUUACAGCAUUGCCAGCAGCAUUCAGUACAUUCAGAACAGGAUCAUUUCACCCACAGCUGAACUAAGGCCAUGCCUGGGACAGCACCGAGAACAGCCUUCCAGCAGACAUGCCAGGGAGUAAGCCAGGGUCAGUGAGUGAAGAGGCAAGCAGGGCCAUUUAAAGCAACAUCGUUUAUGUGGGUCUGGGGAUUCUACAGCACCGCAGAACACAUCGGGCUCUUUACCGGGAAGUUCUGGAACCCAGGAGGCCCAUUCUGAGAUCAAGUCAACACUUGAAGUCCUGAGAAUCCCCUCUGAGAGCAAAAGGCUCUUUGUUCUUCUCUUCAGAGGGUCACAAUCGCUAAUGACAGAGAAUCUGUCAUUCCUCUGGUGGUCCAUGCCCAAUAGAUGUGUUCAAGAAUGGUUGCACAUCUGUGCAACAUGAAGCAAAUAAUUUACCCACCUUAUAGAAGAGGUCUGAGAAGUCAAGGAAACUAUAUCUAGAAUGGUGCUUGGCACAAAAUAGGCUCCUUGUAAACAGAAGCCAUCACAACGGCAAUUUCUCUUAUUCUCAUUACCAUCACUGCUCUACUACUGUUACUUUGGUUGCAUCUAUAAAGCCAGCAGUUUUUCCUGGGUAUGACCAGUGGCCUUGUGUUUAACAAUAGCAUCCUACAUUUCAGGGUGUCUCCUCCUUUCUAAACCUGUAUUUUUCUUUGAACAGAUCAUAAAAACCUUAAAUUGACAUCCAGUUGAAAAUCCCUGUCAAGAAGAUACUGUCUGGGUUACUUACAAGUUUAAUCUAAGAGAGCAAUAUUUUUUUCCCCAAGCAUAAAAUUAUAACAUUGAAUGUUUUUAAAAAAUCAUAUGUAAUUCAAAUAUAAGUAAUGUUAAAAGAUAAACAGGCAUAUUAAAAUUUUUAAGUAUUUAUUUGAGCAAAGAUUGAAUUAAAUUGGGCAACACCAAACCAGAAGGAGCUCACUGACAGGAGCCUUGGGAAAGAAUUUUCUAGAAAAGAACUGGAAGCAAAGUAAAAGAUUACUGGCAAUAGUGUAAGUAGUUGCAUUAAUUGGAAAAGACUCAUUGGCUGUUUGUGACAGGGUGUCCUUAGGUUUCGAUUUCUUAGCCUCAAGGCAUUUGUAGGCUUAAGUUUUGGUUUGCUUACUAGGCUGCUAAGGCAUUCGAACAACAUUAGACUGAUGGCCUCCUGAUUUAAUUAACCUAAGGUAGGUUGUUUUGGCCCUGCCCUAAGUAAGGUCUAUUCUCUGUACAUUUGACAUAAAAGAAAAGGAAGAAGAAACCAGAAGGAAAAGAAAAAGAAGAGGAGAAGAAGUAAGAAGAGAUGCAAAGGGGGAAAAAACAUCCCCAUCAAAAACACUGAAGAGAAAUGGAGGUUUUAUUGAAGCUCUCUCAAGUACUGCUGAGGCACCUGUACUGUAGCGCACACCACAAAUGUAACUACUGUCUUGCUGAAAAGAGUUUCUCUUUCUAUAGAAAUCCCAACAUCUCCCUUCAUAUAGCUUCUUCCUGACUUGGAUGGCUCUUUUCUCACCUCGCAUCCUCCAGAUUAUCCCAGAGGUGGCCCCUCUGUUUUCAGAAAGAUCAGUUUAACCUCUUCUCAGCCUCCUUAGGUCCCCUCACCUAUCACGACAUCUGGCUCAACAAAGGACAGGAAGUUAGAUGCUAAGUGAAACUUCCCCAAAUCGAGACAUUCAGGUAGCCAACCAUUCUUAGAGCAAUUUACAGCAAGCAAAUAAAUUAGUUCACAAGAGUCUCAGAAACCCAACAGUAAUUUAAAUCUUCAUCUCCAGGUACAGUUUUGCUACUGUUUUUGUUCUGCUCACUGAUGUAUAGCAAGUGCCCAUAAGAACACUUGGCAUAAAUAUUUAUUGAAUAAAUAAAUAGUUAGAGAAUUAGCAUUUCAAGAUAUCUUUUCUACAGUUUUUCUCAAAUGUUUUGUGUGAGACAAGUUGUCACACAUGCAUGCCUCCAUAGAAGAGGAUACAAUUUUCUGUCAUUACUUUUUUUAUUAUGUCAUUUUAGGUCAAAUGUUACAAAAAAUGAUAUUGAACUCUUAACCAAUCUAUUUUUUCCAUUGGAAUAUUGGCCUGACUGAGAAAUAACAUCAAGGAAAAAUUAUUUUUUUGGCAGAAAAAUGUCCUCACUAAAUUCUUGUAUGUUUUGUUUUGAUUUUUCCUUAGUGACUGGAGGUCAAUUUCAAUCCACUAAAGCACAGAUUCCAAAUUUUCAAUCUGGUUUUCUUGAGUACAGCCUGGGUGCCAAGAAUGAGGCAAUGACACAACAUCACUACCAAGACACACACACACACACACACACACACACACACACACCCCAGAGUCCAGGGCAUGUUCUGCUGACUUGCAGGCUUCUCCCCUCUAAAAGUUACUCUCAAAAUCAUGCUUUUAAAUUUCAAAUGGAUCUAUUCCCUCUCUCCCUAGCCAAUUCUUAAUGACCUUUUUUUGUCUAAUCCACUGAUCAGGGUCUUCCAGACCCUAUAAGCUAUCAUAAUGGAAUCAUCUAUUGACCAAAGAUAAUGUGUCCUCUACUUAUCCUUUCUUGCUUCCUUUUAAAAGUUGGAUUUUCAAUAUGCUUGUGAGUGAAUCAAUGACUAUAAAUGUAAUUACUGGAGAAACGAUCAUUUUGCUUUAGCCCAAUAAAAGAGGAACUAAGUAUUUUUGGCAGCCCCCAAAGAAUCACAUGUUAUUAAACACAUGUUGUAGAGGAGGGGCAGUGCCCUGAAGGAAAGAGUGGCACGCUAGACAGCCAAAAGAACAGACAUCCACUACAAGUAAUAUGAGUACCAGGUUUGGGUGAGACCUAUCUCUGCUGUGAGACUGGGGACAAUUCACUCAAGAUAAGCCUUAGUUUCUUCAGCUAUAACUCAAGUAUUGAUAUACUUGUCUCCUUACUUUGUAACUCUCCUUACUAAAGUUAACUGUAUCUGUUGUUCUGUGAGUCUUCAAUUCUCAGAUUAAUCUUUUCCUGUUAUAGCCACAUUCUCUAUCAUUGACAGAGAAAUUCACCUGGUUAUUUUGGCUUCUCUAAUCCUGCUGCUGAGAACACCUCCAAGGGAGCUUUCGGUCAGGAGCUGACAAUGGCAUUUAAGGUCACUUGUGCUGUUGGUAGAGAAGGAGAUUUGAAAGGACACCAGUAUCUAACCACCAAUAAUACAUAUAUAUUUAAUUUGGACCUAGUAACUUCCCUGAUAAUGAUAUUUAGCUCAUAUUUGUUAUGUCCUAAUUAAUGCCAAGCUUUUUAGAAAAUCCAUCACCUCAUUUAAUUCUUACAGUCCUCCUUGAAAUAAGGUAUCAGGGUGUUUGACUAUAGUUAUGGGGGAAAAAAAAACCCCAGCCUCCAGCUAACUUAAGCAGUAGGGCCUUUGUUGGCCCACAUAACUGGUAGUCUAGAGAGGGUAGCUUCAGGGUUGGUUUAUGGAUCCAGUGGCUCCAAAAUGUCACCAGCUCCCCAGGUUCUGUCUCUGUCCUGAUAUCCACUGUUGGACCCCCUCUUGUACCAAUUUCCCUCUAUAGGAUGGCCAUCAACAGGAAACUUGCUUACUUACAUAUAUCUAGCAAAGGAGAGUGAGUACCCCCACAGUGAAAAAAGCAAAAAAAAAAAAAAAAAAAAAAAGGCUUCUCCUCCUCAUGGUCUACCUAACUUUAGUCAGCUGCUUAGCUCUGAGACAGCAGCUCCUGGGGAUGGAAGUUAGAGGAAGGAGGAAUAUCAUGGUAUAAUUAACUCAUAUUCCUGAAUCCAAUUAUCCUGAUUGAUUUGGAUGAAUUAGAAUUUACUCCUGAAGGUGGGGCGAUUUUCUGGACGACACUGCCUACUACACAAUGGAAAAGGAAUUGAGCAAAUUUGGGGAGCCAACUAUAAUAUACAUUACAGGAAAAUACUGCUAAUUCCCAAUUUACAAAUGAGAAAACUGAGGCAUGAGGGAGAAAGAUCAAUUAAUUUGCCCAAGAACAUAACUGGGCCUUAGAAGUCUAUCUCCAUUCUAACAAUUAAUUUUUCUUCUCUGUGCAUUUCUUGAAAGCUUAUGAUGUACAGGAGCAAUUAAGAGAACGACCACAGCACUAGCCAUCAAGAGAUGAGAUUACAAUCCUGCUAUAUAACUUCUUUAAAAGUGAGAAUGAUAAAACUACUUACUGGAGUAGUGGCAAAUAUUCAGAUAGAAACCGGGCAGAAGAGUGGCAUCACUUGGGAACUUGUUUGAAAUGCAGAUUCUUUGCCCUACUCCAGACCCACUUAGUCAGAAGCUCUGGGGGCAGGGUCCAGCAAUAUGUGCUUUAACAAGCCCUCCAGGUGAUUCUGAUGGUUGCUAAAAUUUGAGAACCGCUGGUCUAACACAUUGCCUGGUGCCUAAGAUUUUAUUUGUUAUUGUUCUAAAGACAAUGAGGAUAUUGACUUCUGUCUCCAAGAGUUCACAGUCUAGGGAAAGAAAGACAGAGUUCUUUAUGAAGUUCUUUAAUACAGGACCAUACUGUUUGACAAAUGCUCUGAUAGAGGUUUAACUCACUUUGAAAGCUCGUAAGGGGUUGAAUUUAUUUCUAACAAGAUGAAUCUCAGACGGCUUUAUAGAAUAGAUAAGAAACAGAAAGAGAAAAAAAGAAGCUAUGAACUAACAACAGCACAGAUAAUUAAACUUCCAGAGCUCACAGCAGUUACAUCUAGAAAGUUAACUUAAAUACAGUUGACCCUCUGCUCAAAGAUCCGUGUAUAACUUACAUUUGGCCCUCCAGAAACAUGGUUCCACAUCCUCAGAUUCAGCCUACCCAGGAUCUCGUAGUACUAUAGUAUUUACUACUGAAAAAAAUUCACACAGAAGUGGCCCCUCACAGUUCAGUUCUGUGCUGUUCAAGGGUAUAGCACAGACACAGAUUAGAGAUCUCACAUAUAUGGAAGUGAAAACCCAUCAGAAGUCAGCAAAUGAGGAUUUUAGUCCUGGUGUUACAUUUACCAGCUGGCCCUUAAUGUGCUAUUUCACACACAAAAAAAGAGACUGGAUUCCCCAGUUCUUAACCACAGGAAAAUAAGGUUAGGAAAAGGCACGUGUAGAUUUAAAUAUUUCACUGAGGAGCAUGGGCACACCCUGGCUAAGAUGCAUCAGACUUAGUGGUCUCAAAUCUGCAACUGUAGAUUGAGGAAUUAUUGAAUAUAAAGUUAGUAUGUUAAAGAAGCAUGUAAAUAGUAUUAAAAAUCUGUAAGUCAAUCUGCUUUGUUGUUGUUUUUGUUGUUUUGCUUAACAUCUCUAUACGUGCUUCAGUCCUUAAACACCCAAUUAAUAUGUACCGACUAAAAUGUCACCUUCCCUGCGUGGAUCACAAAGUCCUUGGCAGUCACUUCCAUACCAGACUAGUGAGCAUUAUUGUUCUCAUUUUCCAGAUGGAUAAACAGAGGAGAAAGGCCUUGUUAUGUGUCACACAUUUCAGUCACCAAAUGAGACACAAUGGAUACCAGUCUUCUCAUCCCUUCAACAAUAAAGAGCUUUUAAGUUCUUGUAGUCAACAAGGACUUUUGGAAAGGUUAUACUGGCUGAAAAGGCCUAUAUAUGGGUGACAUCCCCAAGCAGGAGGAAAAUCAAAUUAAAGCUGAGUGUCUAAGCUGACUCUCAGAAGAAGAGACAGAAGAGUUGUAAAAUUUUGGCAAAGAAGAGUCUGAAAGAAAAUAAAUGUAGCUGAUUUUCAAGUGCUGUUUUUACACAGUAAAACAAGGGCAAAAUUACUCUUCUUUAAGUAGUAGUUAUCUCUUAAUUAAUAGAUUGAGUCAUUCACUCAUUCAAUAAAUACUUUUUGAUUGCCUUUUAUGUGCCAAGUAUUCAUCCCUGUACUGGAAAUGUAACAAUGACCAAAAGCAGACGAUGAUGACAGUGAUAAUAAUAAUAACAACAACAACAGCUAAUGCAGCAAGUGCUAAUAACAUAGUAAUAUAUAAUAAUUGUUGAAUAAAAUGUCACAACUCAGGAUGAACUAGCAUUCUCUUUGGGGCUGCAUCCAUUGACUAUAAGACAGCUAAUCUGCUUUGAAAUUCUCCAGCUCUGGGCCUCUCUAUCAGAAGGAGCUGUUGUUGGGCCUGCUUCUUGGUAGUGAUGUGUCAACCAGUGAAAACGAAUUUAUGCUCACUGUCUUCGGAAAGGCAACUGAAACUGAGAGCACUGUGAUUUCUUUCAUGAAUUUUUUUAAAUGACUGGAGCCAGCUCUUCUGACUCUACUUCUUUGUUUCUGACUUACUUAAAUACUGCAAGAGCUAUGUAAAAUAAAAGAAAUGUCAUCUUAAUAUUGUUUUCACACAAAACAACAGCAUUCUUUCAACUGUGCUUGAGAUGGAAUAAAACACGAGCAUAUCUGAGAAUAACUUUCAAUGGUAAAUUCAUUCUAUCCGUGCUUUUUAAGAGUAAAUGCUCUGGGGGCUUUGAAAAACAUCUCUUCAUCUUUUUAAAUGUCACUUUACUCACACUGAUGAUGCUCUCAGAUGUUAGGAAAUCUCUUGAGACAGAAAGUGGGAAUAGAGUGAUGCAAUAUUUGAGUGUCAUGUGAUUUCACAAUUUGUUUUUCAAUCUCUUUGGACUUCCGAAAAGGAAGAUUCUCAUAUGUCAACAAGCUCAUGAACUGAAGCUUAAAAUGCUAGAAACAAAACUACAGAGUUUCAAAUACAGGAAUACAUAUGGUCAUAUUGUUUGAUGGGAUGUUGGCUGGCAUUACUGUUUGAUCUCCUGGGAAAUGUUAAUUUUUCUCUGACAGAUUUACUAGCUUGCUUUCUCUGAACACAUGAACCAUAAACAAUGCCUAGUAAGAAAACUUUCUGUCUUCUCCAAGGUCAAAGUUGGAACAAGGAGAGGGAAUUCAGUUUUCCUUCCUUGACAUUAUUCAUUAUUCUUGCAGUCAGUUUGCUCAUAAAGAAUGCAAACCUCUUACAGUUAGUACAAAGAUACA